UACGGGGGGGGCAAGCGUUGUUCGGAAUUACUGGGCGUAAAGGGCUCGUAGGCGGCCAACUAAGUCAGACGUGAAAUCCCUCAGCUUAACUGGGGAACUGCGUCUGAUACUGGAUGGCUUGGAUUCGGGAGAGGAAUGCGGAAUUCCAGGUGUAGCGGUGAAAUGCGUAGUUAUCUGGAGGAACACCGGUGGCGAAGGCGGCAUUCUGGACCGAUAUUGACGCUGAGGAGCGAAAGCCAGGGGAGCAAACGGG
This 253-nucleotide ribosomal RNA is filed under the name uncultured bacterium. RNAcentral describes it as "partial 16S ribosomal RNA". It matches the Rfam family "Bacterial small subunit ribosomal RNA", at positions 524 to 776 of the family's 1533-position model. The record is from RNAcentral.